GACGAACGCUGGCGGCGUGGAUUAGGCAUGCAAGUCGAACGGUAGGAUACCUUCGGGUAUCUGAGAGUGGCGAACGGGUGAGUAACACGUAGGUGAUCUACCCUCAAGAUUGGGACAACCCAGGGAAACUUGGGCUAAUACCGGAUGAAAGCAGCAGUGAUGUUGUUUGAAAGGUGGCGUAAGCUGCCGUUUGGGGAUGAGCCUGCGCUCUAUUAGUUAGUUGGCGGGGUAAAGGCCCACCAAGGCGAUGAUAGAUAGGCGGCCUUAACGGGUGGUCGCCCACACUGGGAUUGAGAUACGGCCCAGACUCCUACGGGAGGCAGCAGUCGAGAAUAGUCUACAAUGGCCGAAAGGCUGAUAGUGCGACGCCGCGUGAACGAAGAAGCCCUUCGGGUGUAAAGUUCUUUUAUAUGUGAGCAGUGCUUUCUAUGUGAACAGCAUGGGGAGAGAGAUAUUAGCAUAUGAAUAAGCAACGGCUAACUCCGUGCCAGCAGCCG
RNAcentral lists this ribosomal RNA (497 nucleotides) under uncultured bacterium. RNAcentral's name for it is "bacterial SSU rRNA". It matches the Rfam family "Bacterial small subunit ribosomal RNA", at positions 28 to 517 of the family's 1533-position model. The record is from RNAcentral.